RNAcentral lists this long non-coding RNA (628 nucleotides) under Androctonus crassicauda. The record is from RNAcentral. Lineage: Eukaryota; Metazoa; Arthropoda; Arachnida; Scorpiones; Buthidae.
GUUAAUUCAUCUAACUUUUUUGAUCAUUCCUACAAAAGCAGAAUUUAUAAUAUUGUCAACUUAAAGAACUUUAUCUUAUAUGAAUAAAACUAAAAAUGAUAAAAAAAAUCAGAUUAAUUAAAGAACAAGCUGCAUUAUACAAGAUUAAAAGGAGGGAAUGUCUAAGAGAACUUCAAGGGUAGCAGUAAGAGCAGUCCUCAUAGAUCUUGUGAUGCUUAGGUAAGCCAUCUUUUGAAUUUUUCAUUCAGAAUCCUGCAUAUUUUAAUAAAACUUUGCCAUUGAAUGAUGACAGCCUAAGUAGUAAUGAGUCUUACACUUAUAGUGUAUAUCUUUUAAAACAACCUUGGUUUUAAUCACCAUGUCUUACCCUAAAUAUCCCUUUAAGCCCAUGGCCCUACAGAUCAUAACAACAAAAUCUGUAUGUGGUUUCCAAGUCAGUAUCUUGUCUAACUUAACACCAAGUUACUUGACUUCAGUAGAAAACUGUGAUCUUUUGCUGAAUAGUGAUAAUUCAGAAAGCCCCAUCAAGGGCCUACAUGCUUUUUUUCAUGUAAAAGAUACAAUUACAGUGAGGUAUGCUACAAUGAAUGAUGCUAUACGAAUGAAUACUAGAAUGAAUAGUUUUAUC